RNAcentral lists this ribosomal RNA (723 nucleotides) under Pseudomonas sp. UFPI B5-8A. Its description in RNAcentral is "bacterial SSU rRNA". It matches the Rfam family "Bacterial small subunit ribosomal RNA", at positions 117 to 835 of the family's 1533-position model. Lineage: Bacteria; Pseudomonadati; Pseudomonadota; Gammaproteobacteria; Pseudomonadales; Pseudomonadaceae. The record is from RNAcentral.
CUAGGAAUCUGCCUGGUAGUGGGGGACAACGUUUCGAAAGGAACGCUAAUACCGCAUACGUCCUACGGGAGAAAGUGGGGGAUCUUCGGACCUCACGCUAUCAGAUGAGCCUAGGUCGGAUUAGCUAGUUGGUGAGGUAAUGGCUCACCAAGGCGACGAUCCGUAACUGGUCUGAGAGGAUGAUCAGUCACACUGGAACUGAGACACGGUCCAGACUCCUACGGGAGGCAGCAGUGGGGAAUAUUGGACAAUGGGCGAAAGCCUGAUCCAGCCAUGCCGCGUGUGUGAAGAAGGUCUUCGGAUUGUAAAGCACUUUAAGUUGGGAGGAAGGGCAGUAAGUUAAUACCUUGCUGUUUUGACGUUACCGACAGAAUAAGCACCGGCUAACUCUGUGCCAGCAGCCGCGGUAAUACAGAGGGUGCAAGCGUUAAUCGGAAUUACUGGGCGUAAAGCGCGCGUAGGUGGUUCGUUAAGUUGGAUGUGAAAGCCCCGGGCUCAACCUGGGAACUGCAUCCAAAACUGGCGAGCUAGAGUACGGUAGAGGGUGGUGGAAUUUCCUGUGUAGCGGUGAAAUGCGUAGAUAUAGGAAGGAACACCAGUGGCGAAGGCGACCACCUGGACUGAUACUGACACUUAGGUGCGAAAGCGUGGGGAGCAAACAGGAUUAGAUACCCUGGUAGUCCACGCCCCCAAACAAUGUCAACUAGCUCUUUGGAAUCCCUU